Medicago truncatula (barrel medic) is the source of this 882-nucleotide long non-coding RNA. RefSeq lists it as uncharacterized. Lineage: Eukaryota; Viridiplantae; Streptophyta; Magnoliopsida; Fabales; Fabaceae. The transcript has 2 exons. The record is from RefSeq and is a predicted model, not a curated record.
UUUGCAGACACCCUGAUAAAUAUAUUAAAAUAAAAAUAAGAGAAAAUUCUAUGAAACAAGAUAAAGGGAAAUAAAGAUGAUUAUAAGAUUAACAAACUUGACAAUUUCUGCAAUGGGAAAUGUUAACUUUUUGUUAUGCUUUUGGGGGAGAAAGUCAUGUUUCUCUCUCUAUCAUAUUUCUCCACCUUCUUUUUAAAAUAUAGUAGCGCCGAUCAACUCUUCCUCUCACCCCAAAUCCAAACAUGUUGAUCAACCCGAAAGGGUCAUGUUAUUGUCAUUGACGUAUUGGACUCAUCCCUCGAUUUGAGUUCUUACGCGUUUUUUCGAACUGUUGUGUUUGGUGGUAUGAUUUUUUCGAUUCUCUGAUAUUCCAGAUUUGUUAAGAUCUGCAGGUUUCGACGAGUCAUGUCUACCUUCACUCUGGUUUUGCUCGAAAGAGCUUUUUGCGCUUGUUUUUUAUCAUGAAGUUGUUGGUACUUGGAUUUUGAUACAGUGUUGACGGUCGAUCCAUUCACCAUAUUUAAACUCUAUCUGUUAUCUGUAGAUUUUCACUUUUCAUACUUUUUUGUAAUCUGGUUUCGCGCCCGUACGCGAGUUCGUUGGAUUGCACAUGUGAUUAGUGAAUUUUUGUUAUGAUAGAUUAGAGUAGAUCCACUUGGACUGUUUUAUCACGUUGUAUUUCCGCUUGAGUUAUUCCUAGUGAGAAAUCAUGUAGAUCGACAAAUCAAUACAUCACGUGAAGGAUUGAGGAUAUGAAGAUUGAAGUUCAAUGAUGUUAGAAGGUAUUUGAAGACAAUACAAAGUGAAGAGAACACUGAGAGAAGAAGAAUAGCAAAAGAGAAAGAAGAAAGAGAAUGGUGGACUGUAUAGAUCUCGUAAAAA